AACAUGGGAGAGAACAAAUAUGCUCGUCUCCACUUGAGGGGAUUGCUAUAGGGUUGUUGUUGUUUUUUUUUUGGGGGGGGGGGGUUGGGGGGGGGGGGUUGUAUUUACAGAGUUAUCUCCUAGUAUUCUAACACAAAAUAGAAUAUUUAGCAACAAAGAGACUACUGAUCAAGUAAAAAUAUUUUUUAUUUAAUUUUUUGAUUAAAGCAAAAGUCAGUUACCUUGCUGUUUUUUUUUUUUACGGUGUUCUAUUUUCACUCACUGUGGUUGGCCCCUCCCUCAACUGGUGUCUCUUCCUGUUAAAAGGGAGGUUUUUUUCUUUGCACCGUUGCAAAUUCUCUAGGCAUACCGGGGUUUGGGACUUCUUUCUAAGAUUGUACGGUCAUUACCACGCAAAGGUGGGAGAAUUAGAAAAAACUGACAACUAUCAUUAACAUACCAACUUUCAGCAUAAGAAGAUAAGAGAUGGCACAGAUGGAUCAGUGCAGGUUUGGUACAAACAUACUAAUGGCUGAGAAGAGGGAGGGCACAUGAAGAGCAGAAAGAACAGAAGGCAAUGUCUGGUGAAGCUGGGUGGCUUAAUAUCUGCUUUUAAAUGGAGUCAAACAUGACUUGGAGAAGAUGGUGUGGAUAAUUUUUAUCUCCAGCCUGAACUUCUCUCAGGUGUCUACCCAAAGAACCGAUGGUGCCAGUGAACAUGAAGGAAGAUCAGCAUCAGACAUCCUGAAAAUUGUACUCCAGUUACUACUGGGUCCUUUUUUGGUAUAUAUGAUAUAUUCCCUAUGGAGACAUCAGGCACGCUUGCGUCAUCAACAGCAACAUCGCCAGCAUUAGUUUCCAUGAGGAGCAGAAGGAUCAGUAACACACGUUCAUCAAUCUGUGUAUUGACUUGACAGAAAUUUAAGGAAACCGCUGCUUAAGCUGUUGAAUAAAUAUCAGUUUGACAACAGCUUGUAGAAAUCCAUAGUUACAUUUUAGCAGUUCAUUUAUAUUUUCUAUUAAUUUUCAUCUGCAUCUAAUCUUGUUAUAAAGCCAUCAUGAGUUCAUGUAAAGUCUGUGGUUGCAGCAUUAAACAUGUUUCUACUCUUCUGGUGUUUUGUUUUUUUUAACUUUUUAUUUUAUUUAUUUAAACAACCCACCUGUCUAAUACACAUACAGUUUCUUCAGACUAACAGAAUACUAAGAGAGUCCCAAACUUAAGGGAAAAAAAUGCAGAGAAAUUAGAAAGAAAAAGGAACAAACAAUAUAUAUAUAUAUGUCUGUGUGUAUAAAAAUAUAAAUACAUAUAUAAUAAUGUAUGUAUGCGGCGCCAUCUUGGAACUUAGACUGACUUAGACUGAUAUUUC
Molecule: long non-coding RNA, 1346 nt
Organism: Astatotilapia calliptera (eastern happy)
Lineage: Eukaryota; Metazoa; Chordata; Actinopteri; Cichliformes; Cichlidae
Source: Ensembl